GCUGGCGGCAUGCCUAACACAUGCAAGUCGAACGGUAACGCGGAGAGCUUGCUCUCUGGCGACGAGUGGCGGACGGGUGAGUAAUACUUAGGAAUCUGCCCAGUAGUGGGGGACAACAUUCGGAAACGGAUGCUAAUACCGCAUACGCACUACGGUGGAAAGUGGGGGAUCUUCGGACCUCACGCUAUUGGAUGAGCCUAAGUCGGAUUAGCUUGUUGGUGAGGUAAUGGCUCACCAAGGCGACGAUCUGUAGCUGGUCUGAGAGGACGAUCAGCCACACUGGGACUGAGACACGGCCCAGACUCCUACGGGAGGCAGCAGUGGGGAAUAUUGGACAAUGGGCGCAAGCCUGAUCCAGCAAUGCCGCGUGUGUGAAGAAGGCCUGCGGGUCGUAAAGCACUUUCAGUAGAGAAGAAAAGCCCAGGGUUAAUACCCCUGAGUCUUGACGUAACCUACAGAAGAAGCACCGGCUAACUCCGUG
Molecule: ribosomal RNA, 481 nt
Filed under: uncultured bacterium
Lineage: Bacteria
Description: bacterial SSU rRNA
Rfam family: Bacterial small subunit ribosomal RNA
Source: RNAcentral